This 1384-nucleotide ribosomal RNA is filed under the name Salmonella enterica. RNAcentral describes it as "partial 23S ribosomal RNA". It matches the Rfam family "Bacterial large subunit ribosomal RNA", at positions 1568 to 2925 of the family's 2925-position model. The record is from RNAcentral. Lineage: Bacteria; Pseudomonadati; Pseudomonadota; Gammaproteobacteria; Enterobacterales; Enterobacteriaceae.
GACGAGGCACUACGGUGCUGAAGCAACAAAUGCCCUGCUUCCAGGAAAAGCCUCUAAGCAUCAGGUAACAUCAAAUCGUACCCCAAACCGACACAGGUGGUCAGGUAGAGAAUACCAAGGCGCUUGAGAGAACUCGGGUGAAGGAACUAGGCAAAAUGGUGCCGUAACUUCGGGAGAAGGCACGCUGACACGUAGGUGAAGUGAUUUACUCACGGAGCUGAAGUCAGUCGAAGAUACCAGCUGGCUGCAACUGUUUAUUAAAAACACAGCACUGUGCAAACACGAAAGUGGACGUAUACGGUGUGACGCCUGCCCGGUGCCGGAAGGUUAAUUGAUGGGGUCAGCGCAAGCGAAGCUCCUGAUCGAAGCCCCGGUAAACGGCGGCCGUAACUAUAACGGUCCUAAGGUAGCGAAAUUCCUUGUCGGGUAAGUUCCGACCUGCACGAAUGGCGUAAUGAUGGCCAGGCUGUCUCCACCCGAGACUCAGUGAAAUUGAACUCGCUGUGAAGAUGCAGUGUACCCGCGGCAAGACGGAAAGACCCCGUGAACCUUUACUAUAGCUUGACACUGAACAUUGAGCCUUGAUGUGUAGGAUAGGUGGGAGGCUUUGAAGCGUGGACGCCAGUCUGCGUGGAGCCGACCUUGAAAUACCACCCUUUAAUGUUUGAUGUUCUAACGUGGACCCGUGAUCCGGGUUGCGGACAGUGUCUGGUGGGUAGUUUGACUGGGGCGGUCUCCUCCUAAAGAGUAACGGAGGAGCACGAAGGUUGGCUAAUCCUGGUCGGACAUCAGGAGGUUAGUGCAAUGGCAUAAGCCAGCUUGACUGCGAGCGUGACGGCGCGAGCAGGUGCGAAAGCAGGUCAUAGUGAUCCGGUGGUUCUGAAUGGAAGGGCCAUCGCUCAACGGAUAAAAGGUACUCCGGGGAUAACAGGCUGAUACCGCCCAAGAGUUCAUAUCGACGGCGGUGUUUGGCACCUCGAUGUCGGCUCAUCACAUCCUGGGGCUGAAGUAGGUCCCAAGGGUAUGGCUGUUCGCCAUUUAAAGUGGUACGCGAGCUGGGUUUAGAACGUCGUGAGACAGUUCGGUCCCUAUCUGCCGUGGGCGCUGGAGAACUGAGGGGGGCUGCUCCUAGUACGAGAGGACCGGAGUGGACGCAUCACUGGUGUUCGGGUUGUCAUGCCAAUGGCACUGCCCGGUAGCUAAAUGCGGAAGAGAUAAGUGCUGAAAGCAUCUAAGCACGAAACUUGCCCCGAGAUGAGUUCUCCCUGAGACUUUAGGUCUCCUGAAGGAACGUUGAAGACGACGACGUUGAUAGGCCGGGUGUGUAAGCGCAGCGAUGCGUUGAGCUAACCGGUACUAAUGAACCGUGAGGCUUAACCUUACA